UGCGGGUGUAGUUUAGUGGUAAAACCUCAGCCUUCCAAGCUGAUGAUGUGGGUUCGAUUCCCAUCACCCGCUCC
RNAcentral lists this transfer RNA (74 nucleotides) under Shouchella lehensis G1. RNAcentral describes it as "Bacillus lehensis G1 tRNA-Gly". It matches the Rfam family "tRNA". Rfam says of the family: Transfer RNA (tRNA) molecules are approximately 80 nucleotides in length. Their secondary structure includes four short double-helical elements and three loops (D, anti-codon, and T loops). The record is from RNAcentral. Lineage: Bacteria; Bacillati; Bacillota; Bacilli; Caryophanales; Bacillaceae.